Molecule: ribosomal RNA, 1483 nt
Filed under: uncultured Bordetella sp.
Lineage: Bacteria; Pseudomonadati; Pseudomonadota; Betaproteobacteria; Burkholderiales; Alcaligenaceae
Description: partial 16S-23S ribosomal RNA intergenic spacer
Rfam family: Bacterial small subunit ribosomal RNA
Source: RNAcentral
GGUUUGAUUCUGGCUCAGAUUGAACGCUGGCGGGAUGCUUUACAACAUGCAAGUCGAACGGCAGCACGGACUUCGGUCUGGUGGCGAGUGGCGAACGGGUGAGCACGUAUCGGAACGUGCCUAGUAGCGGGGGAUAACUACGCGAAAGCGUAGCUAAUACCGCAUACGCCCUUCGGGGGAAAGCGGGGGACCUUCGGGCCUCGCACUAUUAGAGCGGCCGAUAUCGGAUUAGCUAGUUGGUGGGGUAACGGCUCACUAAGGCGACGAUCCGUAGCUGGUUUGAGAGGACGACCAGCCACACUGGGACUGGAGAUACGGCCCAGACUCCUACGGGAGGCAGCAGUGGGGAAUUUUGGACAAUGGGGGAAACCCUGAUGCCAUCCCGCGUGUGCGAUGAAGGCUCUCGGGUUGUAAGCACUUUGGCAGGAAAAGAAACGGCACGGGAUAACACUCGUGCAACUGACGGUACCUGCAGAAUAAGCACCGCCAACCACGUGCCAGCAGCCGCGGUAAUACGUAGGUGCAAGCGUUAAUCGGAACUACAUUGGGCGUAAAAGCGUGCGCAGGCGGUUCGGAAAGAAAGAUGUGAAAUCCCAGAGCUUAACUUUGGAACUGCAUUUUUAACUACCGAGCUAGAGUGUGUCAGAGGGAGGUGGAAUUCGCGUAGCAGUGAAAUGCGUAGAUAUGCGGAGGAACACCGAUGGCGAAGGCAGCUCCUGGGAUAACACUGACGCUCAUGCACGAAAGCGUGGGGAGCAAACAGGAUUAGAUACCCUGGUAGUCCACGCCCUAAACGAUGUCAACUAGCUGUUGGGGCCUUUCGGGCCUGCAGCGUGCAGCUAACGCGUGAAGUUGACCGCCUGGGGAGUACGGUCGCAAGAUUAAAACUCAAAGGAAUUGACGGGGACCCGCACAAGCGGUGGAUGAUGUGGAUUAAUUCGAUGCAACGCGAAAAACCUUACUCUACCCUUGACAUGUCUGGAAUCCUGAAGAGAUUUGGGAGUGCUCGCAAGAGAACCGGAACACAGGUGCUGCAUGGCUGUCGUCAGCUCGUGUCGUGAGAUGUUGGGUUAAGUCCUGCAACGAGCGCAACCUUGUCAUUAGUUGCUACGAAAGGGCACUCUAAUGAGACUGCCGGUGACAAACCGAGGAAGGUGGGGAUGACGUCAAGUCCUCAUGGCCCUUAUGGGUAGGGCUUCACACGUCAUACAAUGGUCGAUACAGAGGGUCGCCAACCCGCGAGGGGGAGCCAAUCCCAGAAACCCGAUCGUAGUCCGGAUCGCAGUCUGCAACUCGACUGCGUGAAGUCGGAAUCGCUAGUAAUCGAUCAGCAUGUCGCGGUGAAUACGUUCCUGUGUCUUUGCAGGCCACACACCGCCCGUCACACCAUGGGAGUGGGUUUUACCAGAAGUAGUUAGCCUAACCGUAAGGAGGGCGAUUACCACGGUAGAUUCAUGACUGGGGUGAAGUCGUAACAAGGUAG